This 56-nucleotide ribosomal RNA is filed under the name Methylobacterium sp. DB0501. RNAcentral describes it as "partial 23S ribosomal RNA". Lineage: Bacteria; Pseudomonadati; Pseudomonadota; Alphaproteobacteria; Hyphomicrobiales; Methylobacteriaceae. The record is from RNAcentral.
UAACGCGCUGAGCUGACCAGUACUAAUCGCUCGAUCGGCUUGAUCGCUCUCAUGAU